RNAcentral lists this ribosomal RNA (497 nucleotides) under uncultured bacterium. RNAcentral describes it as "partial 16S ribosomal RNA". It matches the Rfam family "Bacterial small subunit ribosomal RNA", at positions 28 to 507 of the family's 1533-position model. The record is from RNAcentral.
GAUGAACGCUGGCGGCGUGCCUAAUACAUGCAAGUCGAGCGAACGGACGAGAAGCUUGCGUCUCUGAUGUUAGCGGCGGACGGGUGAGUAACACGUGGAUAACCUACCUAUAAGACUGGGAUAACUUCGGGAAACCGGAGCUAAUACCGGAUGAUAUUUUGAACCGCAUGGUUCAAAAGUGAAAGACGGUCUUGCUGUCACGUAUAGAUGGAUCCGCGCUGCAUUAGCUAGUUGGUAAGGUAACGGCUUACCAAGGCAACGAUGCAUAGCCGACCUGAGAGGGUGAUCGGCCGCCCUGGAACUGAGCCACGGUCCAGACUCCUACGGGAGGCAGCAGUAGGGAAUCUUCCGCAAUGGGCGAGAGCCUGGCGGAGCAGCGCCGCGUGAGUGAUGAAGGUCUUCGGAUCGUAAAACUCUGUUAUUAGGGAAGAACAUAUGUGUAAGUAACUGUGCACAUCUUGACGGUACCUAAUCAGAAAGCCCCGGCUAACUACGUG